CCGGUCGGAGCCAAGAGACGCGGC
This 24-nucleotide microRNA is filed under the name Brachypodium distachyon (stiff brome). RNAcentral describes it as "bdi-miR7735-3p". The record is from miRBase by way of RNAcentral. Lineage: Eukaryota; Viridiplantae; Streptophyta; Magnoliopsida; Poales; Poaceae.